CGGGACGGGUGAGUAAUGUCUGGGAAACUGCCUGAUGGAGGGGGAUAACUACUGGAAACGGUAGCUAAUACCGCAUAACGUCGCAAGACCAAAGAGGGGGACCUUAGGGCCUCUUGCCAUCGGAUGUGCCCAGAUGGGAUUAGCUAGUAGGUGGGGUAAUGGCUCACCUAGGCGACGAUCCCUAGCUGGUCUGAGAGGAUGACCAGCCACACUGGAACUGAGACACGGUCCAG
Molecule: ribosomal RNA, 233 nt
Filed under: uncultured bacterium
Lineage: Bacteria
Description: partial 16S ribosomal RNA
Rfam family: Bacterial small subunit ribosomal RNA
Source: RNAcentral